AUGAACGCUGGCGGCGUGCCUAAUACAUGCAAGUCGAGCGAACAGAUAAGGAGCUUGCUCCUUUGACGUUAGCGGCGGACGGGUGAGUAACACGUGGGUAACCUACCUAUAAGACUGGGAUAACUUCGGGAAACCGGAGCUAAUACCGGAUAACAUUUGGAACCGCAUGGUUCUAAAGUGAAAGAUGGUUUUGCUAUCACUUAUAGAUGGACCCGCGCCGUAUUAGCUAGUUGGUAAGGUAACGGCUUACCAAGGCAACGAUACGUAGCCGACCUGAGAGGGUGAUCGGCCACACUGGAACUGAGACACGGUCCAGACUCCUACGGGAGGCAGCAGUAGGGAAUCUUCCGCAAAGGGCGAAAGCCUGACGGAGCAACGCCGCGUGAGUGGUGAAGGGUUUCGGCUCGUAAAACUCUGUUAUUAGGGAAGAACAAACGUGUAAGUAACUGUGCACGUCUUGACGGUACCUAAUCAGAAAGCCACGGCUAACUACGUG
This 496-nucleotide ribosomal RNA is filed under the name uncultured bacterium. Its description in RNAcentral is "partial 16S ribosomal RNA". It matches the Rfam family "Bacterial small subunit ribosomal RNA", at positions 29 to 507 of the family's 1533-position model. The record is from RNAcentral.